This 1249-nucleotide long non-coding RNA is filed under the name Bos indicus x Bos taurus (hybrid cattle). RNAcentral's name for it is "lncRNA (ENSBIXG00000004484.1)". The record is from RNAcentral. Lineage: Eukaryota; Metazoa; Chordata; Mammalia; Artiodactyla; Bovidae.
GUGCCAGGAGCACGAGGGCAGGGGAGUGAAGGUGGGGGUGGGGUGGGGGUGGAGUGGGGGUGUGUGGGGGGGGUUUGUCUGUGUGGUGUGUGUGUAUGUGGUAUGUGUGAUGUGUGUCUGUGUGUGGUGUGUGUCUGUGUAUAAUGUGUGUGUGCUGUGCGUGUGUGGUGUGUGUGUGUGGUAUGUGUGUGGUGUGUGUGUGUAUGGUGUGUGUUUGGGUAUGGUGUGUGUCUAUGGUGUGUGUGUGGUGUUUGUAUGGUAUGUGUGGUGUGUGUGUGUGUAUGGUGUGUGCGUGUGCGGUGUGUGCGUGGUGUGUGUGUGUGGUGUUUUGUGUGUCUAUGGGGUGUGUGCGUUGUGUGUGUGGUGUUUGUGUGGUGUGUGGUUGUGUGUGGCGUGUGUUUCUGUGGUGUGUGUGUGGUGUGUGUGUGGUGUGUGUGCUGUGUGUGUGUGGUGUGUGAGUGGUGUCUGCAUGGUGUGUGUGUGUCGUGUGUGUCUGUGUAUGGUGUGUCUGUGGUGUGUGUAUGGUGUGUGUGUAGUGUUUCUGUGGUGUGUGUGUGUGUGUUGUGUGUAUGGUGUGUCUGGUGUGUGUGUUGUGUGUGUGGUGGGUGUGGUGUGUGUGUGUGGUGUUUGUGUGAUGUGUGGGUGGUGUCUGCAUGGUGUGUGUCUGUGUGGUGUGUGUGUGUGUGUGUGUGGUAUUUGUGUGGUGUGUGUGUAGUGUGUGUGUGGUGUGUGGUGUGUGUGUCGUGUGUGUCUGUGUAUGGUGUGUCUAUGGUGUGUGUAUGGUGUGUGUGUAGUGUUUGUGUGGUGUGUGGUUGUGUGUGGCAUGUGUUUCUGUGGUGUGUGUGUGUGUGUGUGUAUGGUGUGUCUGGUGUGUGUGGUGUGUGUGUGUGGUGUGUGUGUGAUGUGUGGGUGGUGUCUGCAUGGUGUGUGUCUAUGUGUGGUGUGUGUGGUAUGUGUGGUGUGUGUCUGUAUGGGGUGUGUGUGUGUGUGUGUGUGUGGUAUUUGUGUGGUGUGUGUGUGGUGUGUGGUGUGUGUCAUGUGUGUCUGUGUAUGGUGUGCGUGUGGUGUGUGGUGUGUGUAUGUCCUGUAUGUGUGUUGCCGCGCCCUCUGGGCAGCGAGCCCCCCUCUCACGGCUGGGCACUGGGGAGGGGCUGUCCCGGCACCGCAGCCCCAGCUGUGUCAUCACUGGGGCACAGGACAGGCGCGGUGGCUCCUGGCAGGGCCCAGCGCACCCAAGGGCGCCAGGGGA